AACUUUUAGCAACGGAUCACUUGGUUCCGGCAUCGAUGAAGAACGCAGCGAAAUGCGAUAAUUAAUGUGAAUUGCAGAAUUCAGUGAAUCAUCGAGUCUUUGAACGCACAUUGCGCCCCCUGGUAUUCCGGGGGGCAUGCCUGUCCGAGCGUCAUUGCUGCCCUCAAGCACGGCUUGUGUGUUGGGCUUCCGUCCCUGGUAACGGGGACGGGCCCAAAAGGCAGUGGCGGCACCAUGUCUGGUCCUCGAGCGUAUGGGGCUUUGUCACCCGCUCCCGUAGGUCCAGCUGGCAGCUAGCCUCGCAACCAAUCUUUUUAACCAGGUUGACCUCGGAUCAGGUAGGGAUACCCGCUGAACUUAAGCAUAUCAAUAAGCGGAGGCU
This 382-nucleotide unclassified non-coding RNA is filed under the name uncultured Eurotium. Its description in RNAcentral is "sequence contains ITS2". The stretch from base 1 to 154 matches the Rfam family "5.8S ribosomal RNA". The record is from RNAcentral. Lineage: Eukaryota; Fungi; Ascomycota; Eurotiomycetes; Eurotiales; Aspergillaceae.